This 465-nucleotide ribosomal RNA is filed under the name uncultured bacterium. RNAcentral's name for it is "partial 16S ribosomal RNA". It matches the Rfam family "Bacterial small subunit ribosomal RNA", at positions 28 to 507 of the family's 1533-position model. The record is from RNAcentral.
GACGAACGCUGGCGGCGUGCUUAACACAUGCAAGUCGAACGGAAAGGCCCCUUUGGGGGUACUCGAGUGGCGAACGGGUGAGUAACACGUGGGUAACCUGCCCUUGACUUCGGGAUAACUUCAGGAAACUGGGGCUAAUACCGGAUAGGAAUCCUUGCUGCAUGGUGGGGGUUGGAAAGCUUCGGCGGGGUUGGAUGGACUGGCGGCUUAUCAGCUUGUUGGUGGGGUAGUGGCUUACCAAGGCUUUGACGGGUAGCCGGCCUGAGAGGGCGACCGGCCACAUUGGGACUGAGAGACGGCCCAGACUCCUACGGGAGGCAGCAGGGGGGAAUAUUGCACCAGGGGCGGAGGCCUGAUGCAGCAACGCCGCGUGCGGGAUGACGGCCUUCGGGGUGUAAACCGCUUUCAGCAGGGGCGAAGCUUGUGGUGACGGUACCUGCAGAAGAAGCACCGGCUAACUACGUG